AGAGAAACAGCAAAAGCCGGGACUUCAACAGUCCUUCCCCCAGCCUCCAGCACUGAGUAGCCAGCCCGGCAGACAAGGGGGGAGCCAGACCUGGAGGGGAAUAAAAAGGCUUCCACCCAAGGGCUCUGCAGCUCCCCGAAGCCACUGAGUGCGCUGGCACCCUCUCUUCCUCCUUGAGCAGGGCCCCUUUUUUCAGCCUCGCAUCCUGGUGCUGAGCCAGCAGCCGGCAAGGGGGGCGGAGAGCCACCCCCAUGAAACCUCCACCACCACCACCGGGCAUAGUCCCACGACUACCCCCUGCCCGCUGCGCCCCAGACGCAAGCAGAGGUGACGCAUUCAGGACUGGCCCGCCAGCCAGAGACGCCCUCUCACAGGCGGUUCCCAAGUGCUGAGGAAGGUGAUGACCACACCCCAGAGAUCCACACACUCCUCCACCUCCACAGCUUCGCCCCAACCUCUCAAACGAGCUCCUCAGGCUUGGGGUGGCGUGCUCGGCCAGGGCCAGCCAGCCCAUUCCAACUGAGCCUAGGAAUCCAGGUCUCCCAGGAGUCAUUCUUUUGGGUCCCACUUUGAGCCCUGGACCUGCAGUCACAUUCCCCUCAACUGGCUGACUCUGCUCCGUGGGUGGGAGGGGAGCCAACCAGAGUCUGGCUGGUUCAAGUCCUCAGCUCUUCACAAACUUGCCCCGACAAGGACCCCCGAAUCACUGCUUCGGGGCCCCCCAGCAUCAGCAGUAAGCCCCACCUAUGUGGCUUCUUAUGUGUCCUGGCUUCCUGAACAAUGUCGCUGCGUAUAACCUUCAAGGACAAGGCUUUGGGGAGGGCCACAGACACCCUCCGAUCCCCGUUGCCAAUACUCCAGACCCUUCGUCCUCUGCUAGCCCACCUCUCAUGCCCCCACCCCCCUUCCCGUCCUCUCCCCCCCACCUCACCCCUCAGCUGCGGGCUCCCUUCUCUCCCCACUGGGCAUACACACCCGAAUCAAGGGCUAGCCCAACCCAUCAUCCUUGGGGGCCAACGAGAAGGAAGCUUCCCCAAUGAGCUUCAGAAAGGAAGUGAGUGCCACACCCUGCCCCAGGGAUUUCCCUCCUGGGGGCAGAAGAGACAGAGCACCAAAGGAGAAUCUUACUCCCCGAAUUUAGACCCAGCCCUGGUG
Bos taurus (domestic cattle) is the source of this 1155-nucleotide long non-coding RNA. Lineage: Eukaryota; Metazoa; Chordata; Mammalia; Artiodactyla; Bovidae. The record is from Ensembl.